Molecule: small RNA, 4263 nt
Filed under: Rattus norvegicus (Norway rat)
Lineage: Eukaryota; Metazoa; Chordata; Mammalia; Rodentia; Muridae
Description: uncharacterized LOC102547588
Source: RNAcentral
CAAGAACAAGAACAAGAACAAGAAGAACAAGAAGAAGAUUGAGUUUGGCCCAAAGGCAAGUUAUAAAAAUAUUUUAUUUUAUACAUUUAUUUAUAGGUACUCAUUAAUUAAAACGUUGUAAAUCUUCUUUUCCUAUGUUACUGAGAUAUUCGUAAAUUGACAGAGCUCCAACACACACAGCCACAGCAUACAGAAGCCCAUCUCCAUCCCAUCCGUGACUCGUGCCAAGGCCAGGAAUCCAUGCAAAGGAAUACCUCUGGUGAGAUUUCUGAAGAGUCCAGUCUGGAUGGUGGAAGCCUCAUUUUGCAGCCUGUCUGACUGAAACCCGGAGCUCUCUGUUUGCAUUUCAACCCCAGUCUUUUGUUUUCCACCCCUCAAGAGGUUCAACCAGUUCAAACAUCAGAAAAAUCCUCCGGUUCGUGCGGAAGGUCAGCAUUUGAGUGAAUUCUCCAUGAUGAUGAGGCCACAGAGACAUAGACUAGAGGUUCCAGUGCUAGAUCCUGCUGGGUUCUGCUGUUACCUCAAAGAAGAACCAACGAGUAGAAAAAUUACGUCUUUGGCUACAAAAAUAGACAGACAAAUAAGUGUGCAACUGUAAGUCACCGGACAGAAAGGGAAUUGCAGGGCUGUAAGGACUCCUGCUCCCUUGCUCGUCAACUGCAGGUGACAGGUAAAGCGAUUUGCUGCACAAUACAGACACUGUGACACUGUGACACAGGAGGCAAAGAUCAAGGCCUCCUGAGGUCAGCACAUCCUCAUCCAAACCCAGUGAGGAUCCUUCAAUAGGACGUGUGUGUGUGUGUGUGUGUGUGUGUGUGUGUGUGUGCGCGCGCGUGUGAGAGACAGGGGCAGAAACAGAAUGAGUCUUCACAGAAGACCUACGUACAUCUCUCAUGACACCAUUCAUCUAUGAAUUGCAAAUCACUUCUCUCAAAAUACCCAGACACCUGGCCGCAGACUGCCAGCCUAGUGCUAAAAUGGGCACCUUGAUCGGUUCACCCUGGGACUCGAACCACACAGCUGCAUCUGACCUUGGUAAUGGAUAUCUUUGCCAAAAGAAAUAUGAACAACUCUGGGAACUGAUAAAGAACUUGGGAUGGGUCCAAACUCUCCAGAAGUGAUGGCUUUGUUGUCUGCAGUGUCUCAGGGCCAGGCACUUUUCUUAACAGGCAGACUCUAUAGAAUGAAAGCAAAUGGAAGUUCAGACGUGCGCAGAACUGCUCUCUCCCUAAUCUAGGAACAACAACUAAGAUGCUAGCAUUGGAUCACAACUGGUGGUUCACCUUUAAGGUCCACAAAGGAAAAUAGGGCCAAAUGGUUUGCAAGACGAUUUCUAAUGUGUAUCAGGGGUCCUAGGGAUGCCUGCUCCGUUCCACACAGUAGUCUUACUGAAACCCUAAACGGGAUGCAAAUGAGACGAUAUUUGAUAUAAAAUCUGAAUCAAUCUAAGCACUCAGUAAUAGGGAAAGUGGAAAUUAUUGUCUAUCUUGCUAAUGAACUAUUAUACAGCCAUUACAAAUUAAUCAGGAAACUGUCACUAUAUAGCAAAAUUGCCAAGGACAACGUGAGACGCAGAAUGCCAAUUAUAUAGUCACGUGCAUUUUAGAAUUCCAAUCCAUUACAAUUUAUCAGUGUGGAAGAACAAGAGUAUGAGAGCUUCCUGCUCUCCCACCGCUUUUUAAAAUGUCAAUCUAUGGUUUUAAUAUUUUUAGGAGGAGGAGGAGCUAGGAUGGUGGUCAUUCCAAAAGCUGGCCCACGGUAAUCGGUAAUCCCAGUACUUGUGGUAGGAGGCUCAGAAGUCUGGACUGCAUGCAAAAUGCAAAGACCUUAUCUCAAAACAAACCAGAGAGAGAGAGAGAGAGAGAGAGAGAGAGAGAGAGAGAGAGAGAGAGAGAGAGAGGGAGAGGGAGAGAGAGAGAGAGAGGUUUAUAUAUAAAAGUGCUUCACAUCCCUCUUUCUAAAGUAUUUAACAAGUAAGUAAUGGGUGUUUGGACCUUGCCCAUCUGUUGACAGCCAACAGAAACAGAAACAAAACCAUGAAAGCACAGGGCUCACUGCACUCCCUUCACCAGCUCCUGUUUCUCUGAAUGACACCAAAGUUUCCUAGUCUGGACUUUGGACCCUCUACUAAAUAAACACAGGGUAGCACAACCAUGAGAUCGUUGUUUUGAUGUUUGCUUCUCAAAAAAAAAAAAGGAUUUGCAUACAUACAUACAUACCAUACAUACAUACAUCAUACAUACACAGAUACACACACACACCACCUUGCAGACUCUGGGCUCCGUUCUCCAUGGGAAGAUGAAGAAGUGGAAACUGGUGGACUUGAACAUAGCUUUCAGUUCUGCUCCACAUAAACUGGUUCUUCGUGUGUUUAUGUCAAAUAAAUAUAAAUAGAGGGACAGAUUAGCUUCCACUACAGAUCUGCCUCACUGUCUGGGACCAAAAUGUUGAUGAGGCCGAGAGGUGGGCCCAGGAGAUGGCUCAGCGGCUGCCAUUCUUGCCAUACGCGUGCACACCCAGAGUUUGAUUUCAGGAAAAGACAAUGAACCCCGCACAAUUGUCUCCUAACCUCCACAUGCAUGCUAUAGCAUGUGCACAGGCUCUCACACACAAGCAACAAUAAUAAGUAAUAGUCUAAAAAAAGAAUUAGGGUACAUAGGCCAGCACAGCCAUGGAUGAGCGAGUUCCUACCCAACUCCUGAUUGCUCCCACGUUAGGAAACAAUAAGAAAGAAAAGCAGACCCUAUUAAUUUCGUUAUUGAUCUAUAUGAAUUGCACUUCUCCAAAUGAAUAUUUGUCAAUGAUUAUUUGAGGAGAAAAAAACCUUACUUUUACAAGAUAAAAAUAUGUAUCUAUCUAUCCAAUCCAUCACACCCACGUUGCUUAAAAACUGUGGAGACCUUGGGUCAAGGAGACAGCCCAGUUGGCUUUCAGCAGAAAAUGUGCUGCUCUGCACGAAAAUGGCCACUUAAGCAAGAAUGUGGAAAGGAUUUAUCUCCUGAUGGCGAAGUCGGAUCUUCACUCCUGCUCCGUCACAACUGCACAUCAGUCAGGAGUCUCACUCCUGAGCAAAGGGGAGCAGUCAAGUGUCCAGAGGAGCUGAGGACCUAACAUACUAAAAUUACCUUAAUAAGAGUUAAAUUACCCACAUCCUCAAGAAUGAAACGACACCAACAACACUAACGUUUAAAUUAGGAGCAGCAGAACAUAAAGCAGAUCUAUGACCAACGCAUAAACAUUGUCUUCCUACCAUGGGUGACAGGCAGCAAUGGUAUUACUGUGUGUUAGUACUGAGUCGGGAGGGGAGAGGAGGAGGGGCGCUCUGGGCUUCAGCAGAGACUGCUGGUUAUCGUGUUCACUGUAGCAUUCUCAGGCCUGAGAAAGGUUCUCUGAAUGAAUGAAUGAAUGAAUGAAUGAAUGAAUGAAUGAAUGAAUGAAUGAAUGAAUGGUUGAAUGAAUGGUUGAAUGCAUGAGUGCACAAAGAAGGUAAGAGCAUUCGCCAAUAUGAUUGCUUUCCUGUGAGACUAAAGAUCCAUGCAACCUUAGCUCAAAUCAGAGAAGUGGCUAUGUUCACCACACAUUGCAUUUAGAUACUGGGUGUCAAAGUUUAGCUAUGGGCUCCACAUUUAGAACAUGGCUAAGAUAUGCAAAUAGCCCUCUGGGAUCACCCGAAAAAUUCAUCUCUGAAGAGUCAGUCAAUCAUGUUAGAGUUUUGGAAGUUUCUUCCUUAAAUUAAUACACGCACGCACGCACGCACGCACGCACGCACGCACGCACGCACGCACGCACCAUUCCUCUACCUCCCAGUUUGCUGUUCCAAUUGUGUGCAUCAGCUGAGGUUGCUUCUCUGGGAGAAGGAAGUGAGACACAGGCCGAGUGGCCUCCUAACUCCUAGAGCAGCAACCCAAAGAGCAGCCGACCUCCAUUCUCUGGUCCAUCCUGAACUUCCUUUGUAGCGUUUACACCAUCCAGUCGGUUUGCUUGCCUUGUGUCUGCCUGAUUUCUCUCACCAGAAUGUGCUCUCCGGGAGGGCAAGAACCUAGACGGCCUCGGUUUCUUCUCUGACCCCAACCCUGGACAAGGUACCUGCUACCUAGAAGAUUCAGAUUCUGAAAGUGAACGAAUGAAUGCUUAAGCCAACAGUGGUUGAGUGACAGAGCUCACAGUGUACUGCAAAGACCUUCCAUGUUGCUACACACAAAACGGGAUGGGGUCUUGCUUUGUUGUUGUUGAUUUCUUUCCUUUUUGUUUGUUUUUCAAGAC